AAACUGCGAUAACUAGUGUGAAUUGCAGACCUGCUUGUGACUCAUCGAAAUUUUGAACGCACUGCGCCUGGGGGCAACCGUCAGGCACACCAGGUUGAGUGACACCAAUUAUCCAUUGCUUCACCAAACUUCUGGUGAAGCAGAUUUGGGGGUGUAGUUGCUUCAUCUGAAACUACUUCCCUUCAAUGUAGUAUUGCAGUUGGAGUGUGGGUUUGAGAGUGAAAGUCCAGUCUAGAGGGUUCAUCCCAGCUAAUCUGGUCAAGUAACUGUCAUUGUAACACCUCCACAGCAAACCGAAACGAGACCAGUCCUGCCACUGGCCAAUUCAACAAAAAAAGUGUGUCCUCAGCUCUGGUGGGACUACCCGCUGAACUUAA
This 377-nucleotide unclassified non-coding RNA is filed under the name uncultured fungus. Its description in RNAcentral is "sequence contains ITS1". The stretch from base 1 to 104 matches the Rfam family "5.8S ribosomal RNA", at positions 50 to 154 of the family's 154-position model. Lineage: Eukaryota; Fungi. The record is from RNAcentral.